Poecilia latipinna (sailfin molly) is the source of this 1462-nucleotide long non-coding RNA. RefSeq lists it as uncharacterized. The transcript has 2 exons. The record is from RefSeq and is a predicted model, not a curated record. NCBI's taxonomy places the organism in Eukaryota, Metazoa, Chordata, Actinopteri, Cyprinodontiformes, Poeciliidae.
ACAUCCCAGUCUAUCCAGCUCUCCUCCCAUUGCCCUCCCUCUUGCUUUCAGUGUCCUCCAUCUCUCUGGUGUUGCUCGUUUUCCUGUAUUAAGGACAUCUUAACUUCCAGAGCUCUGCCUCUUCAUCCAUCCAUUUAUUCUUAUAAUCUCAACCUAACUGUUUGAAAGUGAAGCAGCUCAAAGCUGACCUUGUAAAGACUCUUACUGACCGGACCACACCACACCUGUGUCCCUGAAUCCAUGGAAGCCAAAGCCAAGGCAGGGGCUCCAGCACCCAAGGCAGCAUCCAAAGCGGACAAGAAGGAGCCAGCAGCACCACGCAAGGCUGAUCAUGCCCCUGCGGCCCCUGAGCCCGAGAAUCCCCACUUCUCCUCCGUUCAAGAUGGAGCAGCAGAAGCUGAGUCAGCAGCGGGUGACAAGGCCUCUGGUUCAGACUCUGUGGAACAUCUCAAGCCUUUUCUUAUUGGCGGUGCCAUUAUCGCCGCAGGAGCCAUUUUGCUGGGAGUUCUGCUGCUGGCAAGGAGAAAUUAAAACCAAAUUAAGAUAAGAAUAUUGUUGACUGGUUCACUGACUUCUCUGGUUUGAUGAGCGAUGGGGAGACACAGCAGUCUGUGUGUAUUUUCUUAUUUUAUCUGUCUUAUUUAGGGUUUUUUUUUUUUUUUUGGCCUGCUUUCAUGUGUAGUGCAUCAGCCUAUGUAACGUUUGAUCAAGGCUUUAUAUGGAGCAUAACUAUACUUAUUAUAUGCAUGAAGUUGCUACAAUACUGCAUAUAAAAUGUAAUUAGAACAUUUUUUAAAAAGAAAAAAAAAACUACACUGCAUUACAUAGCCGCCACAACUCUUUAAAUGUGGUUUAAUCUAAUACUUUUUUCCAGUUUGUAUAAAUAUUGAUAGCUUUUCGAUAUUUAUGCAUUCUUGCAAUUUAUUUUGCUUAAAAGUCAUGGGGGGAAAAAUCAUUUUCUCUAUCAAUAAUGUCCCCGGACUGUCUGAGUUCUAUGAUUUCAAAGUAAAUGAGUUGGUGAAAGGAGAAUGUUCUGAAAGGUUUGGCCAAAUAAACUACAUACAAGGUAGAUAGUGAAUCAUAAAGAUUGAGAUUAAUUUGAGUCUGUAAAAGUCUGCUCUAGUGAAAGUUUACCUUUGAUGUGACCAUGUGGGCUUGGAAACAGAAGCUGACAGUAUAGAUUUUGAUCUGUUUUGGGCUGGAAACAAGCAAAGUGCAUCUAAUAUGUAAAGUAUGUGCUAACAGAGAUAAAAAAAAACAAAAACAAUUUCAUGUUGAGGUAAAGACGUUAGUUGUUGUUUUUUUUUUUACCCAGAAUUUGGUUGAUUCUCUGUUAUUACAGAUGCCUUUCCUGGGCUGAGAAGUCUUCACUAAGUUCAGCAAAAAUACAGUCUGUGUUAAUGUUCAGAGAUCUAAAAUCACUUAACUAUUUUUUUUUUUACUUUUAUUUUUUUUACAAUCA